This is a non-coding RNA of Malus domestica (apple), 1726 nucleotides long. Lineage: Eukaryota; Viridiplantae; Streptophyta; Magnoliopsida; Rosales; Rosaceae. The record is from RefSeq and is a predicted model, not a curated record.
UCAAAUUUCAGAUAUCUAUCGAACCCUAUUUACAGUUUUCAGAUCAAACGCUAUCAACCACCAGAUCUCAUCCAAUUCGCUUAUGUCGACGAUUUUUCGUCCCUAAACUACGGAGAUGAAGUGCUUCCUUUCUCGAGAUGUGGAGGCGCGAGAAGGAGGAGAACAAUGCGGUUUUCUCCUUCUUCCUCUGAAAAAAAAACGCCGACGAGCUCGACGUUAUUGCCGAUGCUGCUGCUCCUCCGUAUUCUGACACUGCGUAGGCGCGACGGUUUCUAAGACUGUUAGAGCGAUGGCGCCGCAGGGGAAAAUUCGGGUGGAUGAGUUUUGAAUUCAGAGGAUGAGAAGUCUGAUUACGACUGGUGAGUAAACUAUUGUCAAGUUUAAGUCUUUGAUUUUAUGCUUAUUUUUGGUGGGAUUAAAUUUUCUUAAGACUAAUCGAAGUUUUAAGUCUCUGGUUAUGAUAACUUGUUGAAUUAAUGAAGAAAAUUGUUGGGUUGCUAAAUUGGGUGGGAUUAAUUUAUCAUUGGACUAAUGAAUCGUGAUGAAAUUAAUUCUGGGGCAUUGAUUUAAACAAAUUGCAUAAUGGGAGUUUAGUGUUCCUGCAUGAUUAUGUUUGAAUUAUAAGAGUAAAAGAACAAACUCGAGAGUCUGCAUGUGGUGUAUGUUUCUUUAUGUUUUGUUAUACUGCCACAUUGAAUUCCAGGAUCAGGGUUCUUUAUACUGCCACAUUGAAUUCCAAGAUCAUGUUGCAGAGAAAGGUUUUGGUUGGAAGAGUUGUGCUAUAAGGUAUUGCUAUCUUUCUUGUUUGUACUGUAGUAAAUGAUAUUUCUAUCAUAGCGUACAGGACGAGUUGACUACCUAAGUGUUAUCUGGAGAAGCAGGAUUAAAGUUGAUUCCUUUGCUGGAUGUUGAAUAAGAGUUGGUAUGUACUGUAUCUAAUGCUAAAUGAAGUUAAAAUGUUCCUUGACUCUUUGGUCCUUAUAAUUUCAGGUGCUACUAGAGAUUGCUUACCAGUUACAACUAUGCUAAAUCAAUUGAAGAGUGGGGUUCACUCUGCAAUACACACUGAAGGUUCACGGUCCUUCAACCGAGAACUGAAAAUUUUGAUUGCAAGGUUUGGUGAACCGUUGUCUUGACCUUAACAUAGUAUGGUAAAUUACUGUAAUGUAAGCCCCGUGAAAAACUUUCCUCUCUCCUCUCUCGCUCUCCCUCACACACACAUAGAGGAAGACAUGCCCAUUGAUCUUCAUAUGCUUGAUACUUAUACUUAUACAUGAUUACUUGCCUUUUGUCUAAUUGACUUUGUGAAUUUGAAUUGUUUUGUAUAUGAUGUCCUUAAGUGAUGAUUUUUUAUUUCUAAGCUUUAUAUUUUUCCUUGUUUAUCUCAUAGGUGGUUGGUGGUUCUAAUUCAUGAGGGUUUAUAACUCAAAUAUCAACUAAUACAUUUACGGAUUUCUGCAAAUUUGAAGUGUGGUUGGCUUGCUGGAGAUGUGUCUUCUUGAAGAAAUGAUUGCAGAGAAGAUGAAUAUCAUUGGAGGACCAAGGUUGGAACUAGGACUUGAGUUUGUUUUAGAGUGAAACAAAGUCUACAUGUUUUGGUACACAACUGUAGCAUAACUCGGUGAUUUGGUAUUCUUAAUAGAACUACUCAUUUUGUUGUUAACUUUUAGUGUAAUAUUUGAAUAUGUGAAUUUUUAUAAAUUAAAUAUGCAAUUUUGUACAUAAA